Molecule: non-coding RNA, 1023 nt
Organism: Parasteatoda tepidariorum (common house spider)
Lineage: Eukaryota; Metazoa; Arthropoda; Arachnida; Araneae; Theridiidae
Source: RefSeq, a predicted model, not a curated record
GAAUUGUUGAAAAACAUUGAUAAAGCUUUGAAACUACAAAAAGAUGAUUUACCAAAAGAGAUUAUUCAAGUGCACCUAAAUGGAAUGGAGAAUCUAAUGGAAAAUGAAAUUGAUCAAAUGAAAUUGUUGAAAAAAAUUGAAAAAGGUAAGUUUGAAUUUUUUUGGUAAUACAUUUGAUAACUCUCUUCUAUGAAUUGUAUCUUAAUUAUUUUUGAUGCUACAAUUUGCAAUUUUUUUAGGAAUUCUUUGAAUAAAAAGAUUAGUGUUAAUUAUCGAAAAAGUUUUCAAAAACAUUUGAUGAUAAAAGCUGUAUUUUUACAAGAUCUUUGCCUGUUGUGUCUUUUUAACAAUAAAUCUAACGAUUCAACACAAAAUAUUCCUUCGUUUUUAAAAAAACGAUGUGUUAUAUAAAUUGCUCGCUUUUGUGAGAUUAGAAGAAAAAAACUGUAUAAAAGUAGUCUACGUAAAACGCAAUAAGUUUUAGAGUAAUAUUAAUCUCUUGAUAAGAACAAUAAUUCAUGAAGAGCACUAUAAUGUUUUAGGGUCAAGGAAUUUGUUAUAAACAAAUAUUUAAUUUAGAAACGUAAACGUAUGUUCGAAUGUCCACAAGACCUCAAAUGAGUAAUUUCUCAAGAGUUAAUUACAUAAUUUUUUCUAUAAUUAAAAAUAUAUUUAAGCCUGGCAGAACAAGGGAAAUGAAACAAUGUUGAGUUGCACUACAUAACAAUUUUAGAUGAAAAAUGUUUAGUGACUUUUUCCAAUUUAUAUUUCAGCUUUGCAGCUUCAAAGAGAGGAUUUACCUCAAGAGAGUAAGUAUUAAACUUUUAAAUAAUCGUAAGUAAUAGUAAGUAAGUAAUAGCAAUUUAAGUAACAGAAACUUAUAACUAAUUUUUAAAUAAUAGAUUAUGUUAACUAAGUUAAAUGUCAUAAAAACUUUAUCUACAAUUGUUGAUUCAUAUGGAAUCCUGUUGUUUUUUCUAUUUCUAAACUGAAUCUACCCUCAAUUACAACUGCUAAUUUAUG